Long non-coding RNA from Puntigrus tetrazona (Sumatra barb), 496 nucleotides. RefSeq lists it as uncharacterized. Lineage: Eukaryota; Metazoa; Chordata; Actinopteri; Cypriniformes; Cyprinidae. The transcript has 3 exons. The record is from RefSeq and is a predicted model, not a curated record.
AAAUGAUUUGCCGAUGCUUUUUGCUUUACUUCUUAGUGUGAUAUCGCUCCAUCCCCAGCAUUCCUCAACAUCUUCCGAGUGCGAUCCGCACCGAUCUCCUCCAGCAGUGGUAACGUGGUACUGCACAGAUGGUCUGGGUACGGGGAUCAACCGUGGUUGCACUGAAAGGAAAAGGCCUGGAGAGAUGCCCGGCCGCCCGCUGGUCGUGUCUCUGCUGAGCACCCCGAGCCGUGAUGACCUCUUGAAUCAAAGCCAAAGCACAGCGGCUGGCCGACACACUUUUCCCCUUGAUUUCCCAUCGAUUCCUGCGGACACAUGCUCGUACCGUCCCUGCGGUUAAAUAGCACUGCUAGCGAAGUGGCUGUCAACAGGCAUACCUGGUGCAGGCUUUGCUGUCCUCGGUUGGAGAGAUGCCUAAAUGUAAACAUCGCAGGUGGUCCAUCCUCUGAGACGCUGGACUUCUGAAACAGUAACGCCAAAAAGGAAAUGCACUUAA